UACGUAGGGUGCAGGCGUUAAUCGGAAUUACUGGGCGUAAAGCGUGCGCAGGCGGUUUGCUAAGACAGGUGUGAAAUCCCCGGGCUUAACCUGGGAACUGCGCUUCUAACUGGCAGGCUUGAGUGUGGCAGAGGGGGGUGGAAUUCCACGUGUAGCAGUGAAAUGCGUAGAGAUGUGGAGGAACACCGAUGGCGAAGGCAGCCCCCUGGGCUAACACUGACGCUCAUGCACGAAAGCGUGGGGAGCAAACAGG
RNAcentral lists this ribosomal RNA (253 nucleotides) under uncultured bacterium. Its description in RNAcentral is "partial 16S ribosomal RNA". It matches the Rfam family "Bacterial small subunit ribosomal RNA", at positions 524 to 776 of the family's 1533-position model. The record is from RNAcentral.